RNAcentral lists this ribosomal RNA (465 nucleotides) under uncultured Klebsiella sp. Its description in RNAcentral is "bacterial SSU rRNA". It matches the Rfam family "Bacterial small subunit ribosomal RNA", at positions 338 to 795 of the family's 1533-position model. Lineage: Bacteria; Pseudomonadati; Pseudomonadota; Gammaproteobacteria; Enterobacterales; Enterobacteriaceae. The record is from RNAcentral.
CCUACGGGAGGCUGUAGUGGGGAAUAUUGCACAAUGGGCGCAAGCCUGAUGCAGCCAUGCCGCGUGUGUGAAGAAGGCCUUCGGGUUGUAAAGCACUUUCAGCGGGGAGGAAGGCGUUAAGGUUAAUAACCUUGUCGAUUGACGUUACCCGCAGAAGAAGCACCGGCUAACUCCGUGCCAGCAGCCGCGGUAAUACGGAGGGUGCAAGCGUUAAUCGGAAUUACUGGGCGUAAAGCGCACGCAGGCGGUCUGUCAAGUCGGAUGUGAAAUCCCCGGGCUCAACCUGGGAACUGCAUUCGAAACUGGCAGGCUAGAGUCUUGUAGAGGGGGGUAGAAUUCCAGAUGUAGCGGUGAAAUGCGUAGAGAUCUGGAGGAAUACCGGUGGCGAAGGCGGCCCCCUGGACAAAGACUGACGCUCAGGUGCGAAAGCGUGGGGAGCAAACAGGAUUAGAUACCCGGGUAGUC